This 468-nucleotide ribosomal RNA is filed under the name uncultured bacterium. Its description in RNAcentral is "partial 16S ribosomal RNA". It matches the Rfam family "Bacterial small subunit ribosomal RNA", at positions 28 to 507 of the family's 1533-position model. The record is from RNAcentral.
GACGAACGCUGGCGGCGUGCUUAACACAUGCAAGUCGAACGGAAAGGCCCUGCUUUUGUGGGGUGCUCGAGUGGCGAACGGGUGAGUAACACGUGAGUAACCUGCCCUUGACUUUGGGAUAACUUCAGGAAACUGGGGCUAAUACCGGAUAGGAUCUCCUGCUGCAUGGUGGUGGUUGGAAAGUUUCGGCGGUUGGGGAUGGACUCGCGGCUUAUCAGCUUGUUGGUGGGGUAGUGGCUUACCAAGGCUUUGACGGGUAGCCGGCAUGAGAGGGUGACCGGCCACAUUGGGACUGAGAUACGGCCCAGACUCCUACGGGAGGCAGCAGUGGGGAAUAUUGCACAAUGGGCGGAAGCCUGAUGCAGCAACGCCGCGUGCGGGAUGACGGCCUUCGGGUUGUAAACCGCUUUCGCAUGUGACGAAGCGUGAGUGACGGUAAUGGGUAAAGAAGCACCGGCUAACUACGUG